This 117-nucleotide ribosomal RNA is filed under the name Nitrospiraceae bacterium. Lineage: Bacteria; Pseudomonadati; Nitrospirota; Nitrospiria; Nitrospirales; Nitrospiraceae. The record is from RNAcentral. RNAcentral also lists the same sequence under 1 other name.
UCCGGUGGCAAUACCGGAGGGGUCACACCCGUUCCCAUUCCGAACACGGUAGUUAAGCCCUCCAUGGCUGAUGAUACUUGGGCUGUGAGGCCCUGGGAAAGUAAGUAGCCGCCGGAU